Molecule: ribosomal RNA, 459 nt
Filed under: uncultured bacterium
Lineage: Bacteria
Description: partial 16S ribosomal RNA
Rfam family: Bacterial small subunit ribosomal RNA
Source: RNAcentral
CCUACGGGAUGCAGCAGUGAGGAAUAUUGGUCAAUGGCCGAGAGGCUGAACCAGCCAAGUCGCGUGAGGGAAGACGGCCCUACGGGUUGUAAACCUCUUUUGUCGGGGAGCAAAGCGAACCACGUGUGGUUCAUUGAGAGUACCCGAAGAAAAAGCAUCGGCUAACUCCGGGCCAGCAGCCGCGGUAAUACGGAGGAUGCGAGCGUUAUCCGGAUUUAUUGGGUUUAAAGGGUGCGCAGGCGGAGUUGCAAGUUAGCGGUCACAUUGCGGGGCUCAACCCCGUACUGCCGUUGAAACUGCAUCCCUUGAGUGCGCGAGAAGUAUGCGGAAUGCGUGGUGUAGCGGUGAAAUGCAUAGAUAUCACGCAGAACUCCGAUUGCGAAGGCAGCAUACCGGCGCGCAACUGACGCUCAUGCACGAAAGCGUGGGUAUCGAACAGGAUUAGAUACCCCAGUAGUC